This 492-nucleotide ribosomal RNA is filed under the name uncultured bacterium. Its description in RNAcentral is "partial 16S ribosomal RNA". It matches the Rfam family "Bacterial small subunit ribosomal RNA", at positions 29 to 507 of the family's 1533-position model. The record is from RNAcentral.
AGUGAACGCUGGCGGUAGGCCUAACACAUGCAAGUCGAACGGCAGCACAGUAAGAGCUUGCUCUUACGGGUGGCGAGUGGCGGACGGGUGAGGAAUACAUCGGAAUCUACUUUUUCGUGGGGGAUAACGUAGGGAAACUUACGCUAAUACCGCAUACGACCUACGGGUGAAAGCAGGGGAUCUUCGGACCUUGCGCGAUUGAAUGAGCCGAUGUCGGAUUAGCUAGUUGGCGGGGUAAAGGUCCACCAAGGCGACGAUCCGUAGCUGGUCUGAGAGGAUGAUCAGCCACACUGGAACUGAGACACGGUCCAGACUCCUACGGGAGGCAGCAGUGGGGAAUAUUGGACAAUGGGCGCAAGCCUGAUCCAGCCAUACCGCGUGGGUGAAGAAGGCCUUCGGGUUGUAAAGCCCUUUUGUUUGGAAAGAAAAGCAGCAGGUUAAUACCCCGCUGUUCUGACGGUACCCAAAGAAUAAGCCCCGGCUAACUUCGUG